RNAcentral lists this ribosomal RNA (865 nucleotides) under uncultured archaeon. Its description in RNAcentral is "bacterial SSU rRNA". It matches the Rfam family "Archaeal small subunit ribosomal RNA", at positions 13 to 884 of the family's 1478-position model. The record is from RNAcentral.
CCUGCCGGACCUGACUGCUAUCGGAUUGAUACUAAGCCAUGCGAGUCUUUGUAGCAAUACAAGGCAGACGGCUCAGUAACACGUAGUCAAUCUACCCUAUGGACGGGGAUAACCUCGGGAAACUGAGAAUAAUACCCGAUAGAUCAUUAUGCCUGGAAUGGUUUAUGGUCGAAAUGAUUUAUCGCCGUAGGAUGGGACUGCGGUCUAUCAGCUUGUUGGUGAGGUAAUGGCCCACCAAGGCUAUAACAGAUACGGGCUCUGAGAGGAGAAGCCCGGAGAUGGGUACUGAGACACGGACCCAGGCCCUAUGGGGCGCAGCAGGCGAGAAAACUUUGCAAUGUGCGAAAGCACGACAAGGUUAAUCCGAGUGUUUUCUGCUAAAGAAAUCUUUUGUCAGUCCUAAAAACACUGAUGAAUAAGGGGUGGGCAAGUUCUGGUGUCAGCCGCCGCGGUAAAACCAGCACCUCAAGUGGUCAGGAGGAUUAUUGGGCCUAAAGCAUCCGUAGCCGGCCGUGUAAGUUUUCGGUUAAAUCUAUACGCUCAACGUAUAGGCUGCCGGGAAUACUGCACAGCUAGGGAGUGGGAGAGGUAGACGGUACUCGGUAGGAAGGGGUAAAAUCCUUUGAUCUAUUGAUGACCACCUGUGGCGAAGGCGGUCUACUAGAACACGUCCGACGGUGAGGGAUGAAAGCUGGGGGAGCAAACCGGAUUAGAUACCCGGGUAGUCCCAGCUGUAAACAAUGCAAACUCAGUGAUGCACUGGCUUGUGGCCAGUGCAGUGCCGCAGGGAAGCCGUUAAGUUUGCCGCCUGGGAAGUACGUACGCAAGUAUGAAACUUAAAGGAAUUGGCGGGGGAGCACCACAA